Molecule: ribosomal RNA, 500 nt
Filed under: uncultured bacterium
Lineage: Bacteria
Description: bacterial SSU rRNA
Rfam family: Bacterial small subunit ribosomal RNA
Source: RNAcentral
UCAGAUUGAACGCUGGCGGUAUGCUUAACACAUGCAAGUCGAACGCGAAAGAGACCUUCGGGUCUUGAGUAGAGUGGCGGACGGGUGAGUAACGCGUAGGAACCUACCUGGUAGCGGGGGACAACCUGGUGAAAACCAGGCUAAUACCGCAUACGCCCUACGGGGGAAAGCAGGGGAUCUUCGGACCUUGCAUUAUCAGAUGGGCCUGCGUCGGAUUAGCUGGUUGGUGAGGUAAUGGCUCACCAAGGCGACGAUCCGUAGCUGGUUUGAGAGAAUGAUCAGCCACACUGGGACUGAGACACGGCCCAGACUCCUACGGGAGGCAGCAGUGGGGAAUAUUGGACAAUGGGGGCAACCCUGAUCCAGCAAUACCGCGUGUGUGAAGAAGGCCCGAGGGUUGUAAAGCACUUUCAAUUGUGAAGAAAAGCCUAAGGUUAAUAACCUUGGGUCUUGACGUUAACUUUAGAAGAAGCACCGGCUAACUCCGUGCCAGCAGCCGC